This 393-nucleotide ribosomal RNA is filed under the name uncultured bacterium. Its description in RNAcentral is "partial 16S ribosomal RNA". It matches the Rfam family "Bacterial small subunit ribosomal RNA", at positions 523 to 918 of the family's 1533-position model. The record is from RNAcentral.
AUACGGGAGGUCCGGGCGUUAUCCGGAUUUAUUGGGUUUAAAGGGAGCGCAGGCGGAGAUGCAAGCGUGACGUCAAAUUUCGGGGCUCAACCCCGUCUCGCGUCGCGAACUGCGUGCCUUGGUUGCGGGAAGGGGAGGCGGAACUUGUGGUGUAGCGGUGAAAUGCAUAGAUAUCACGAAGAACUCCGAUCGCGAAGGCAGCCUUCCGGCCCGUCAACGACGCUCAUGCUCGAAGGUGCGGGUAUCAAACAGGAUUAGAUACCCUGGUAGUCCGCACAGUAAACGAUGGACACCCGCGGUUUGGCCUGUAUGGCUGAGCCGCCAAGCGAAAGCGUUAAGUGUCCCACCUGGGGAGUACGCCGGCAACGGUGAAACUCAAAGGAAUUGACGGGG